CGUAUAGGGGAGCCGAAGGGAAACCGAGUCUUAACCGGGCGUUAAGUUGCAGGGUAUAGACCCGAAACCCGGUGAUCUAGCCAUGGGCAGGUUGAAGGUUGGGUAACACUAACUGGAGGACCGAACCGACUAAUGUUGAAAAAUUAGCGGAUGACCUGUGGCUGGGGGUGAAAGGCCAAUCAAACCGGGAGAUAGCUGGUUCUCCCCGAAAGCUAUUUAGGUAGCGCCUCGUGAAUUCAUCUCCGGGGGUAGAGCACUGUUUCGGCUAGGGGGCCAUCCCGGCUUACCAACCCGAUGCAAACUGCGAAUACCGGAGAAUGUUAUCACGGGAGACACACGGCGGGUGCUAACGUCCGUCGUGAAGAGGGAAACAACCCAGACCGCCAGCUAAGGUCCCAAAGUCAUGGUUAAGUGGGAAACGAUGUGGGAAGGCCCAGACAGCCAGGAUGUUGGCUUAGAAGCAGCCAUCAUUUAAAGAAAGCGUAAUAGCUCACUGGUCGAGUCGGCCUGCGCG
RNAcentral lists this ribosomal RNA (514 nucleotides) under Salmonella enterica. RNAcentral describes it as "partial 23S ribosomal RNA". It matches the Rfam family "Bacterial large subunit ribosomal RNA", at positions 654 to 1165 of the family's 2925-position model. The record is from RNAcentral. Lineage: Bacteria; Pseudomonadati; Pseudomonadota; Gammaproteobacteria; Enterobacterales; Enterobacteriaceae.